UACGUAGGGUGCAAGCGUUGUCCGGAAUUAUUGGGCGUAAAGAGCUCGUAGGCGGUUCGUCACGUCGGCUGUGAAAUCCCGAGGCUCAACCUCGGGUCUGCAGUCGAUACGGGCGGACUUGAGUACUGCAGGGGAGACUGGAAUUCCUGGUGUAGCGGUGAAAUGCGCAGAUAUCAGGAGGAACACCGAUGGCGAAGGCAGGUCUCUGGGCUGUAACUGACGCUGAGGAGCGAAAGCAUGGGGAGCGAACAGG
RNAcentral lists this ribosomal RNA (253 nucleotides) under uncultured bacterium. Its description in RNAcentral is "partial 16S ribosomal RNA". It matches the Rfam family "Bacterial small subunit ribosomal RNA", at positions 524 to 776 of the family's 1533-position model. The record is from RNAcentral.